CCAAGUUUUAAUUAAGAAAAAUGGGUGUCAAAUGCAGAUACAGAAUAACGAGUGCAUGAUAAAAAUUUAUGCAGCAAAACAAAAUUAUUACAAAUCCCUUACAAAAUAUGUAUGAGGACUAAUACAUAUAUAUACUAAGGCCUGAAGUGGCCAUAAAAUACAAAAUCAAAACAUAAAGACCACUCCUUUCAUUUGGCUAUUGAACUCAUCAGAGUGUGGGAAUAGACAUGCACUCAGACUUGUGGAUCCACGAGAUCCUCAUAGACUUUCAAGGGUAGGUCAGCUUGCGGUUCCUCACUUUCUUCCUCAUCUGGAGGCAUGGAAAGAGUGAGUUUUAUAUUGUCAGUAAAAAAAAUAAUUUUAAAUUAACAUUGUAAGGUUUCAAAAGUGAUUAUAAAAGCUUACCGUUUAACCACCUCAUAUACCUAUCUCAUAUUAUGAAAGUAAUUUGUUUAUUAAGAAAAUAGUACGUUAAUACAGACAAUCAAACAUAUGUCAUGCCAGAUAAU
This 509-nucleotide long non-coding RNA is filed under the name Carica papaya (papaya). Its description in RNAcentral is "long non-coding RNA (CPAP_LNC010898)". The record is from RNAcentral. Lineage: Eukaryota; Viridiplantae; Streptophyta; Magnoliopsida; Brassicales; Caricaceae.